Non-coding RNA from Pelobates cultripes (western spadefoot toad), 311 nucleotides. NCBI's taxonomy places the organism in Eukaryota, Metazoa, Chordata, Amphibia, Anura, Pelobatidae. The record is from the annotation of a GenBank genome assembly.
GCAUUUGAUGGAAUCCUCAUCGUGAAAUAAUUAAGAAUAAAAUUCUGAAAACGCUAUUUGUUAUGUAGAUAGUAGAUAUCAGUUUUACACAAUACAGUAGGCAGAAAAUAAAAUAAUAAGAAAAAUUAGAUACUGAGGUAUUUGAUGUUAUUUUUUGGAAAUACAAAUAUUUCUUGAUAAUUGGACACGUGCAUAUAAUUUCAUUCCAAAUUAAAUGUUGUGUAAAUGCUUUAUAUGUACAGAAUGUAUGUGAAAUACACAGUAUGUAUACAGAAUGUAUGCAAUAUAAACAGGACAGAAAAUUAGAGAGC